Molecule: ribosomal RNA, 834 nt
Filed under: Hermosita hakunamatata
Lineage: Eukaryota; Metazoa; Mollusca; Gastropoda; Nudibranchia; Facelinidae
Description: eukaryotic LSU rRNA
Rfam family: Eukaryotic large subunit ribosomal RNA
Source: RNAcentral
AAAAGAACUCUGAAGAGAGGGUGCAAAAGCGCGUGAAACCGCCCAGGGGUAAACUGGCUGAGCCGAGCGACGUGUCCCGCCGGGGCGGCUGGUCGCCCGUGCUUCGACUUGGGGCCACCCGUCCGUACCGCUCGCGGUGCGGUUGCGGAGGCAUUCCGGUAUAAAAGCUCGGGCGCGUGUCCAACCCCGGCGGGUCUCCGCCGUCACCGGCACCGGGCUGUCUCGUCGCCGCGCUCUCCUCGGGCCGCCGGUUCCGAGGGGCGUGAGCGCGGGUCACUUUGCACGAGAGCAGUCGCGGGUGCCGUGGUCGACCGCGGGAGAGUCGGCGGCCGUUGGCGUUUCUCCGGCUUCUCGAUCCCGUUUCCCUCGCCUUUCCCUCUCGGGGGAGAGUGCGGUGGGGCGGGUCGGUGGUCGGGCGCGGACGGCCCCGUCCCGCCGAAAGGUGUACGGCGUUAUUUCCGGUACCUGCCCGACCCGUCUUGAAACACGGACCAAGGAGUCCGACGCCUGUGCGAGCCGCAGGGUUUCCACUAAACCCCACGGCGAAGUGAAAGCGAGAGGUCUCUUUAACGAGCCGAGGGCGGGAUCUCCCGGUGCGAGCCCCAUCCGGGCUCGUCGGGAGCGCACCGCCGGCCCGGCAGCCGCCGCGUCGACGGCCCUGUCGGAGCAUGAGUGCAGGCGUCGGGACCCGAUAGAUGGUGAUCUACGCCUGAGCAGAGCGAAGCCGGGGGAAACUCUGGUGGAGGCUCGAAGCGACUCUGACGUGCAAAUCGACCGCCCGACUUGGGCGUAGGGGCGAAAGACCAAUCGAACCAUCUAGUAGCUGGUUCCCUC